AUCUGCUUAGCGAGGCUUUCCGAGGAGUCAAGGGAUUCCUUGAUCGCGUUAGGCAAAAGUUUCAAAAAUUUUCAGAGGCUGAUCCAAAUUUGCAGCCCCUCAGGGGUGAAGACAGAGAGAAAACUUCAAUCCCUCACUUCCAUUUCUUUUGGAGGGAAGAGGAAUGACACUUCUGCAGUAGGAAUUUCUUAUCUGAAUCCUCUGAAGAAUUCUCAAAAAUGGCUCCGCAGUUUAUGUCUGUGGUCCUUGGUGCACAACGGUUAUCUACUAGGUCUCAUAUUCACAUCACAGGGGUACCUGAUAUUUCAGUUCAUACCUUUGACCUUCUUGAUGUAGCAGAAAUGGGGAAUGUUGCUGGCAAAUAUUAAAUGGGAAGGAAGAUAAGAUGCCAUUUUUGACACUCUAGCAAGCUUAUAUGUCAACUGCAACAUACGUCUAAUGUGGCAAGAUCUCAUCUCUCAAGACAUCUUUGAUUUUUAAAAAGAAAUAUAUAUUUUCCAGUGCAAGGGUGACCUCAACCCUCCAACCAGGGGAAAACUCCCCAACCCAACCUGAACAAAGUGUUGUGAAGAGGUCUAAGGGAGAAAUCAAGGUUAAGGAUCAACUUCCACAGGUCAAGGAAAAUCAGAUCUACAGAUCAUGCUGCUGUGCUACCACCUUUCACCAUGGAAUCAACACCAAGUUUGCCCCAUGAAGGUCAAGUGUGGGAAUGUGUUCUUCUUAGUACCAACCAAAAUCUGCUUAAAUUGCUGAUGGGAACAAAUGUGAGAAGGCAGACAUUUGGACAUUGUAUGAGCAAGGAUGAUUUCGAGUACAGAUAAGAAGGUUGUGACCUAUAAUUUCAACUCAGCAAACCAACCUGGGGGAAUAAUGUGGAUGGCAUCAUUGGUCGAAUAUGUGGCCCUUCAGAAGACUGAGCAUACUUGUGGGUGGACCACUACCAUACCAUGUGACUGUGUUAAAAGGGGGUGUAGGUCACUCGCUCAAACAACGGGCCAAGCAACCAAAGUGCAGAUGCUCCUUGAUGUAAAGAGGAUUGGUCAAUGUGCCUGGAAUGACAGUUUUCUAUGGGAGUGACUUAAGGAAACCCGCCCAAAUAGUUUGGGAGAUGUGCUCUUGAUUCUUCAUGAGAACUUUCCUUCAACUCCUGUGACACUGACCAGUUGCGCUGUUUGGAAGAAGGCCAAACCCUGUCCAGAUGGUUGUUGGGCCAACAGUCUGAGAUUCCAAGUUGGCCCGAGUACUUCUCAGUCUCUACCUAUAGCAAGGACAAUGUUUUCACAGAUGAACAAAUCAAGUAUGGCUAUGGCAACCUCGACUUUACAUUCAUGCAGGUCUUGGGAUCAGGCUGUCAACCUAUGUUCCUAUGGCUAUUUUCCUGGUGCAACAGUGUUCCUGGGUUUCCAGAGAUGUCACCUAUGCUUGGUGUGGCAUACCAUGUGAGAUGUCACACAAGAAUCACUGUCCUACUUCUCCUCCACCAGAUGCUGUUUCAAUGAUGCUUGCUGAGAGAGUGACAGUGGCCGGUCCAGCCUCAAAUCCAGAUGAUGAUCUUCAUGUUUCCUACACUGGUGACAGUUUGUACAGAAAGGACAUUCUUCUUUCGCUUGUUUUACAUCAUCAAACUAUCAAAACCAAUAUCACACGUGAUCUAUCUGCCAUCAAUGUUUCCCAAUACUUCCCACAAUGCCAUCCAUUUUUAACUGUUGCUUGGGCUUCAUGGAAUCUGUGGAAUACGAAAUGGACUGUAAUACAGCAUCCCAAUAUUGGAGAACAUUAAACAUCGCCUUACCUCUCUUUCCCUCCACAACCUGGAAGACUCCAGAAAAGAGACCUUGGGACUAUCCUAAGUGGUUUAGGGACUGCAGGGCAGGAUUAAAUGCUAAGUCAUUGGAAGUCAUUGCUAACAAAUUAAGGUGAUUCUAUGUAGAGAUGUAUGUAUGAUGUAAAGAGAUAUGUGUAUGUAUGCUUUAAGAAAACAUACAAUGAGGUGAUUCUCACGACUGCCAAAAAGUAAGCUAAGGGAGCCUAGCCUGCUUUUUGGCAGUCGUGUGCUGCCACGGGAGCCGAGCGGCUCCCGGCAGCAAACCGUCCUAACUAUCCCUCCCCUUAGCCCAGGUUAGUGGAGCUCUGCUAACCGGAUCGUGUGUUGCCAGGUUGCGACUCCGCACCGUGGCAACUCACGAGGAGACCCCCGACCAGGAGGCGAAAAAGCAGCCUACCGACUCAGGGGUCUCUCCAGCAUGCUCUGCGCACUCCUGCAGAGCAUGCUGGAACUUCCAGGGGCUGCAUGGCCCCCGAACUUGCAAGCCCCCGCCGGCUCUGUAAUGGAGCUGGCAGUCAUGUGGGCGGCCAAUCCAGCAGUUAUGUGGGCGGCUGAUCCAGCCACCCAGGGCAGAUUGCAGGAUCGUCUGGGGGGAGAGCGGGCUAAGCCCGCUCUCCCUGCUUAACCCCAUCUGGCAGUUCCCAAUGAUUGUGGGGACCGCCCAAUGUCUUUCAUACGUUUACACAUGAAAGGGGUUACAGAUGGGAUGUCUAAUGCCUUCACACUUAUAUUUGCAGGCGACAAGGAUCUGGCAAAGCUUUUACCAUGCUGGGUCCAAACUGAACAUGGCAUUCUUCAAAAAUCCCUAACAGCCUCCAAACAUGGUAUAUAUAAUUUAUCCAUAGCCAUCCAGUUCUUACAACUUCAAGGUGCCCUUUGGCACCAGUCUGAUUGAAGGUGCUAUGGCCCACAAAAUGCAUUCUGAUUUGGCCUUUAUACGAGAUUUAAAAUACUCUUCAGAUACUUAAUCACAUUUACUACACACAGCCGAGGUAACUUUGGAUCAGUGGGAUCCAAAGGGAUUGAUUUUGACAGUCUAUGUUUCUCACUCUAAGGUCUUGGAGAAAACCACAGUAUUUGCAAUGUCACAUUUAGGAUUUCCAUUGGCCGAAGCCAAUUUCUACAUGUUACCAGCUUGGUCAGAUACCUCACAUAUGUUUCAUUUGCAGGACUGCAAGACAGCAUUUAAGUGGGUUCUUUGUCCUAAUCCACCGGAAUCAUUCCCUGAACCCCAAUUUUCAGUCCUAAAAUUUUUCCCUAACUCAAUUAAUGAACUGUAUAUGGUUAAUGAAACAUGCUUCUGUCUGCAAACAUCUUGUUCUCAGGUUACUUUGUCUACUGGUAAGGAGGUGACCAUUGAAAGGAAAAAGGGCAAUCCUUGUUUUUCUUUUCCUUGGGUAAAGGAUUGUUGGGGAAAAUACUCAUGCUAGUGUGUGAUGUCAGUGAAAUCAUCAGUGAUUCGGAAUGGAUGCAUGGUCUAUUUAAUCUGAUAGGCUUCCAUAUGGAAGACAAAAUUAAAAUUUUGGAGUGGAUGUCUGAACGCCAUGAUUUGGAAAACCAGAUACUAGACAAUGCACAUAAAUUCAAUAAUUCAGCUCAGAUUUGGGACCAUGUAGCCAAGGUGGGUGAGAAAAUAAAGGAAGUUGCACAACAUUCCUGUUUUGACACUUUGUUGGGCUGCAGUCCAACUGGAACGGGUUUUGGGAACAUGAUCUUGCAUCCAGUGGUAUUCCUUUUGGUAGUGCAGGUCAUCCUAAUGAUCUGCAUGAUUGGAAUCUGUAUUUGGAUAAAGAAGGCCACUAGGGACUUGUGGGCUUGCACUUCAAUUUGUAGACAAUUUCAUUUGAUCAGAAUGCUUGCUGCUUGCACGGCCUGUCCUGAUGAAGCAGAAGACAAUUGUCCAACUCCAGUUUGUGAGAAUUUGAGGAGGGGGAAUGAUGAUAUAUACACUGAUGCAGACUUGCAAUAACUUUUGACUUUUGCAGUAACUUAUAAGUACCCAUGACCAUACAUUCAUUAGCACAUGUUACACAGUGUUGGGAUGGAUGAGACUAACAUUUUUAGGCAAUAUGUUUGAAAGCUCAUUUUCAUUUCUGUUUAUCCAUUUCAGUAUUAUACUCUGUAUUCAUUUGUACCGAAUGUAUUAAUUUCUACUUAUGUAUCAUCUUUUAUAUUACCCUUUAUAUUCAUUUAUAUUCAUUAUAUUAGUAUUAUCAGUAUUAUCAAGAUAGAAUACCUGUAUCACUUGCCAAUAUUAGUUGAAUAGGUGCAUUAAAUUGGUA
This is a long non-coding RNA of Hemicordylus capensis (graceful crag lizard), 4107 nucleotides long. RefSeq lists it as uncharacterized. Lineage: Eukaryota; Metazoa; Chordata; Lepidosauria; Squamata; Cordylidae. The transcript has 3 exons. The record is from RefSeq and is a predicted model, not a curated record.